This 239-nucleotide long non-coding RNA is filed under the name Capsicum annuum. RNAcentral describes it as "long non-coding RNA (CANN_LNC020610)". The record is from RNAcentral. Lineage: Eukaryota; Viridiplantae; Streptophyta; Magnoliopsida; Solanales; Solanaceae.
GAACUUAUCCCUUUUCUUUACCUCCUGCGCUUCUAGCCUCACCACUACCUCAUUCUCUCGCCUUACGUCAUUAAACUUACAUUCCACAUACUCUGUCAAGUUACAUUCCACAUACUCUGUCUUGGUUCUGCUCACCCUGAACCCUUUAGACUCCAGAGUUUGCCUCCACAGCUGCGUCUCAUCUAUCAGGACUACAUCGUCUGCAAAAAGCAUACACCACGGCACCUCCCCUUGGAUAC